Neochlamydia sp. EPS4 is the source of this 87-nucleotide non-coding RNA. NCBI's taxonomy places the organism in Bacteria, Pseudomonadati, Chlamydiota, Chlamydiia, Parachlamydiales, Parachlamydiaceae. The record is from Rfam.
GGAAGAGUGGCAGAGUGGCCGAUUGCGUCUGUCUUGAAAACAGAAGGCCCUUCACGGGGUCCGUGGGUUCGAAUCCUACCUCUUCCG